RNAcentral lists this ribosomal RNA (377 nucleotides) under uncultured bacterium. Its description in RNAcentral is "bacterial SSU rRNA". It matches the Rfam family "Bacterial small subunit ribosomal RNA", at positions 521 to 896 of the family's 1533-position model. The record is from RNAcentral.
UAACACGUAGGAGGCGAGCGUUAUCCGGAUUUACUGGGCGUAAAGCGCGUGUAGGCGGUUUGGCAAGUUGGAUGUGAAAUCUCCUGGCUCAACUAGGAGAGGUCGUUCAAUACUGCCAGACUAGAGGACGGUAGAGGAAGGUAGAAUUCCCGGUGUAGUGGUGAAAUGCGUAGAUAUCGGGAGGAAUACCAGUGGCGAAGGCGGCCUUCUGGGCCGUUCCUGACGCUCAGACGCGAAAGCGUGGGUAGCGAACGGGAUUAGAAACCCCGGUAGUCCACGCUGUAAACGAUGCGGACUUGGUGUUGGUGGCGUAAAAACCAUCAGUGCCGAAGCUAACGCGUUAAGUCCGCCGCCUGGGGACUACGAUCGCAAGAUUA